CCUACGGGAGGCAGCAGUGAGGAAUAUUGGUCAAUGGUCGGGAGACUGAACCAGCCAAGCCGCGUGAGGGAGGAAGGUACAGAGUAUCGUAAACCUCUUUUGUCAGGGAACAAAGGCGGGGACGUGUCCCCGGAUGAGUGUACCUGAAGAAAAAGCAUCGGCUAACUCCGUGCCAGCAGCCGCGGUAAUACGGAGGAUGCGAGCGUUAUCGGGAUUUAUUGGGUUUAAAGGGUGCGAAGGCGGUCUGUUAAGUCAGCGGGAAAAGCCCGGGCCUCAACCCCGGCCCGCCGUUGAAACUGGCAGUCUCGAGUUGGAGAGAAGUAUGCGGAAUGCGCGGUGUAGCGGUGAAAUGCAUAGAUAUCGCGCAGAACUCCGAUUGCGAAGGCAGCAUGCCGGCUCCACACUGACGCUGAGGCACGAAAGCGUGGGUAUCGAACAGGAUUAGAUACCCCUGUAGUC
RNAcentral lists this ribosomal RNA (459 nucleotides) under uncultured bacterium. RNAcentral's name for it is "partial 16S ribosomal RNA". It matches the Rfam family "Bacterial small subunit ribosomal RNA", at positions 338 to 795 of the family's 1533-position model. The record is from RNAcentral.